This 659-nucleotide long non-coding RNA is filed under the name Ananas comosus (pineapple). Its description in RNAcentral is "long non-coding RNA (ACOM_LNC026166)". Lineage: Eukaryota; Viridiplantae; Streptophyta; Magnoliopsida; Poales; Bromeliaceae. The record is from RNAcentral.
AACAGCGAGAGCACAACCAGUGCUAAACAACCAAGAGCAAACAUCACGAGUAAAGUAUAUACAAGUGAAUAAAAGAGAGAUACUUAUCUAUUACAACCAUUCAAACUUUAAUACAUUGAUUACAUUUAAACUUCCCAAAAUAUAAACAUAGAGUUUACAAUCUUCCAAAAUCUCUCACACCUAUACAUCAUCUACUCUCAAGCAUGUAGGGUAACUACUAAUGCAAUAGGAAGCAUCUACAAUCUCUAGGGCGCUAAGCCCUUGCCACGAUCCUCGCCGGGAGUACUCGAGCUCGGCUGUCACACCCCGAGACCGUCACCCAUUUGGUCCGGUUCGGGCGCGUCGAACAGACGCCGAAUGGACAGCACCUCCCCUAUCCGCCCAAGGCUCAAGCACGGGAUCAUGUACAAGAAUUCGCCCAGGAACAAUUCAAUACAUACAUGAUCCAUACAACGACAAUAGAAGCAUCACAAGUGCUUAACAACAAGAGCAAGUAACACAUGUACAUAUACAAGUGCAUAAAGAGAGAAUUCUAUCUAUUACAUCACGAUUUGUCCAUUAUACAAUUGAUUUACAUUUUUUUCAUCCAAAAUAUAAGUAUAAGUUCAUUCACAUCUCUCCAAAAUGCAUCUCACAACCUAUACAUCAUCUACUCCUAU